Molecule: long non-coding RNA, 621 nt
Filed under: Citrus x clementina
Lineage: Eukaryota; Viridiplantae; Streptophyta; Magnoliopsida; Sapindales; Rutaceae
Description: Citrus clementina (C. clementina) long non-coding RNA (CCLE_LNC002662)
Source: RNAcentral
AAUUACAAAAUAUUAUAGUGUUAAUCAAUUAGUUUAUUUUUUUUUCUAAUAUUAUAUGGUGCUAUUGUUUGUUUUGUCAGAUUCUUUUUAUUUAAAUAUCAGUGCUCGCGUUUGGACGGCGGCCAAAAAAUUCAAAGAGUCGCAACCGCAUGUGAACGUUACGUUAAAAAUGAAUUAUCAUCAUUUUAGUGCAGUUGACGGUUGACAUGACAAUCAAGGCCAUGGUGUUGGUGUCGUUGGCUGUUGAAUUGACUAGUGGACAAUUUCGCCUACCCUUCCAAAUAAUUUCAAUAACAUUGUGACAACGUGGUUCCCACGGCGGCUGCUUUCCGUGUAGUUUGUUUAAUUUUAGACCGCAAAAUUACGAACGUGUAACAUAAUUUACAUUAUUAUUCAUUGAAUUUUGUACAACAGACAAAAAUUAUGAUACAAAGUCUGUUUCUACCUAAGAACCCCAAAAAUGAAAAACCUAGCCGCAGAAAAAAUAGUUUAUGUAAAGAAAUUGUGGUUCCAAAAUUAAAAAAAAAAAUUCAUGCAUAUGUAGAAUAUAGACAAAAAUAAAAGGGAAAACCAUGAAAUCCACCCUCUUAUAUUUAAAAAAUGACCAAAACCUUCUUCGAA